GACGAACGCUGGCGGCUUUCUUAACACAUGCAAGUCGAACGGAAAGGCCCUGCUUUUGUGGGGUGCUCGAGUGGCGAACGGGUGAGUAACACGUGAGUAACCUGCCCUUGACUUUGGGAUAACUUCAGGAAACUGGGGCUAAUACCGGAUAGGAGCUCCUGCUGCAUGGUGGGGGUUGGAAAGUUUCGGCGGUUGGGGAUGGACUCGCGGCUUAUCAGCUUGUUGGUGGGGUAGUGGCUUACCAAGGCUUUGAGGGGUAGCCGGCCUGAGAGGGUGACCGGCCACAUUGGGACUGAGAUACGGCCCAGACUCCUACGGGAGGCAGCAGUGGGGAAUAUUGCACAAUGGGCGGAAGCCUGAUGCAGCAACGCCGCGUGCGGGAUGACGGCCUUCGGGUUGUAAACCGCUUUCGCCUGUGACGAAGCGUGAGUGACGGUAAUGGGUAAAGAAGCACCGGCUAACUACGUG
RNAcentral lists this ribosomal RNA (468 nucleotides) under uncultured bacterium. RNAcentral's name for it is "partial 16S ribosomal RNA". It matches the Rfam family "Bacterial small subunit ribosomal RNA", at positions 28 to 507 of the family's 1533-position model. The record is from RNAcentral.